RNAcentral lists this ribosomal RNA (253 nucleotides) under uncultured bacterium. Its description in RNAcentral is "partial 16S ribosomal RNA". It matches the Rfam family "Bacterial small subunit ribosomal RNA", at positions 524 to 776 of the family's 1533-position model. The record is from RNAcentral.
UACGAAGGUCCCAAGCGUUGUUCGGAAUCACUGGGCGUAAAGGGAGCGUAGGCGGCGCGGUAAGUCAGAUGUGAAAUCCCGGGGCUCAACCUCGGAACUGCAUCCGAUACUGCCAUGCUAGAGGAUUGGAGAGGUAGCUGGAAUUCUUGGUGUAGCAGUGAAAUGCGUAGAGAUCAAGAGGAACACUCCUGGCGAAAGCGAGCUACUGGACAAUAACUGACGCUGAGGCUCGAAGGCUAGGGUAGCGAAAGGG